GAAGCAACUGGAAGUGGUUCCAAGAAAAGCCUCUAAGCUUCAGUUUAACAAGACCGUACCGCAAACCGACACAGGUGGGCGAGAUGAGUAUUCUAAGGCGCUUGAGAGAACUCGGGAGAAGGAACUCGGCAAAUUGGUACCGUAACUUCGGGAUAAGGUACGCCCCUGUAGCUUGACUCGCCUGCGCGAGAAGGGUGAAGGGGUUGCAAUAAACUGGUGGCUGCGACUGUUUAAUAAAAACACAGCACUCUGCAAACACGAAAGUGGACGUAUAGGGUGUGACGCCUGCCCGGUGCCGGAAGAUUAAAUGAUGGGGUGCAAGCUCUUGAUUGAAGUCCCGGUAAACGGCGGCCGUAACUAUAACGGUCCUAAGGUAGCGAAAUUCCUUGUCGGGUAAGUUCCGACCUGCACGAAUGGCGUAACGAUGGCCACACUGUCUCCUCCCGAGACUCAGCGAAGUUGAAGUGUUUGUGAUGAUGCAAUCUCCCCGCGGCUAGACGGAAAGACCCCAUGAACCUUUACUGUAGCUUUGCAUUGGACUUUGAACCGAUCUGUGUAGGAUAGGUGGGAGGCUAUGAAGCGUGGACGCCAGUCUGCGUGGAGCCGUCCUUGAAAUACCACCCUGGUUUGUUUGAGGUUCUAACCUUGGUCCGUUAUCCGGACUGGGGACAGUGCAUGGUAGGCAGUUUGACUGGGGCGGUCUCCUCCCAAAGUGUAACGGAGGAGUACGAAGGUACGCUAGGUACGGUCGGAAAUCGUGCUGAUAGUGCAAUGGCAUAAGCGUGCUUAACUGCGAGACCGACAAGUCGAGCAGGUGCGAAAGCAGGUCAUAGUGAUCCGGUGGUUCUGUAUGGAAGGGCCAUCGCUCAACGGAUAAAAGGUACUCUGGGGAUAACAGGCUGAUACCGCCCAAGAGUUCAUAUCGACGGCGGUGUUUGGCACCUCGAUGUCGGCUCAUCUCAUCCUGGGGCUGUAGCCGGUCCCAAGGGUAUGGCUGUUCGCCAUUUAAAGAGGUACGUGAGCUGGGUUUAAAACGUCGUGAGACAGUUUGGUCCCUAUCUGCCGUGGGCGCUGGAUAUUUGAAGGGGGCUGCUCCUAGUACGAGAGGACCGGAGUGGACGAACCUCUGGUGUACCGGUUGUCACGCCAGUGGCAUCGCCGGGUAGCUAUGUUCGGAAGAGAUAACCGCUGAAAGCAUCUAAGCGGGAAACUCGCCUUAAGAUGAGAUAUCCCCGGGGCUUCGAGCCCCUUGAAGGGUCGUUCAAGACCAGGACGUUGAUAGGUCAGGUGUGGAAGCGCAGUAAUGCGUUAAGCUAACUGAUACUAAUUGCCCGUAAGGCUUGAUCCUAUAACC
RNAcentral lists this ribosomal RNA (1354 nucleotides) under Paraburkholderia polaris. RNAcentral describes it as "Paraburkholderia sp. RP-4-7 partial 23S ribosomal RNA". It matches the Rfam family "Bacterial large subunit ribosomal RNA", at positions 1587 to 2925 of the family's 2925-position model. The record is from RNAcentral. Lineage: Bacteria; Pseudomonadati; Pseudomonadota; Betaproteobacteria; Burkholderiales; Burkholderiaceae.